This 490-nucleotide ribosomal RNA is filed under the name uncultured bacterium. Its description in RNAcentral is "partial 16S ribosomal RNA". It matches the Rfam family "Bacterial small subunit ribosomal RNA", at positions 30 to 507 of the family's 1533-position model. The record is from RNAcentral.
AUUGAACGCUGGCGGCAGGCCUAACACAUGCAAGUCGAACGGUAACAGGAAGAAGCUUGCUUCUUUGCUGACGAGUGGCGGACGGGUGAGUAAUGUCUGGGAAACUGCCUGAUGGAGGGGGAUAACUACUGGAAACGGUAGCUAAUACCGCAUAACGUCGCAAGACCAAAAAGGGGGACCUUCGGGCCUCUUGCCAUCGGAUGUGCCCAGAUGGGAUUAGCUAGUAGGUGGGGUAACGGCUCACCUAGGCGACGAUCCCUAGCUGGUCUGAGAGGAUGACCAGCCGCACUGGAACUGAGACACGGUCCAGACUCCUACGGGAGGCAGCAGUGGGGAAUAUUGCACAAUGGGCGCAAGCCUGAUGCAGCCAUGCCGCGUGUAUGAAGAAGGCCUUCGGGUUGUAAAGUACUUUCAGCGGGGAGGAAGGGAGUAAAGUUAAUACCUUGGCUCAUUGACGUUACCCGCAGAAGAAGCACCGGCUAACUCCGUG